UGUUGUCAUCAUAACAACUGCCUAUGUUCCAGUGAAUUGAGAGAAACGCCUUGGGGUAACCACAUCCAAAUGUCAUCAUUACCUGAGAGAUGACGCUAUCGGGCGGUAACAAAUCCGUUUAACCUUUAAAAUAGAGCACCGGUCCUUU
This is a small RNA of Pantoea ananatis LMG 20103, 148 nucleotides long. It matches the Rfam family "STAXI RNA". Lineage: Bacteria; Pseudomonadati; Pseudomonadota; Gammaproteobacteria; Enterobacterales; Erwiniaceae. The record is from Rfam.